Molecule: ribosomal RNA, 388 nt
Filed under: uncultured bacterium
Lineage: Bacteria
Description: bacterial SSU rRNA
Rfam family: Bacterial small subunit ribosomal RNA
Source: RNAcentral
AUUGAACGCUGGCGGCAUGCCUAACACAUGCAAGUCGAACGGCAGCACAGCAGUAGCAAUACUGUGGGUGGCGAGUGGCGGACGGGUGAGGAAUACGUCGGAAUCUGCCCAGUCGUGGGGGAUAACUAGCCGAAAGGUUAGCUAAUACCGCAUACGACCGAGAGGUGAAAGCGGGGGACCGCAAGGCCUCGCGCGAUUGGAUGAGCCGACGUCGGAUUAGCUAGUUGGCGGGUAAAGGCCCACCAAGGCGACGAUCCGUAGCUGGUCUGAGAGGAUGAUCAGCCACACUGGAACUGAGACACGGUCCAGACUCCUACGGGAGGCAGCAGUGGGGAAUAUUGGACAAUGGGCGCAAGCCUGAUCCAGCAAUGCCGCGUGUGUGAAGAAA